Molecule: ribosomal RNA, 253 nt
Filed under: uncultured bacterium
Lineage: Bacteria
Description: partial 16S ribosomal RNA
Rfam family: Bacterial small subunit ribosomal RNA
Source: RNAcentral
UACGUAGGGAGCAAGCGUUGUCCGGAAUCAUUGGGCGUAAAGCGCGUGUAGGCGGCUUGGUAAGUCUGCUCUGAAAGCCCGGGGCUCAACCCCGGGAGGCGGGUGGAUACUGCUGAGCUCGAGUCCGGAAGAGGCGAGUGGAAUUCCUGGUGUAGCGGUGAAAUGCGCAGAUAUCAGGAGGAACACCGAUGGCGAAGGCAGCUCGCUGGGACGGUACUGACGCUGAGACGCGAAAGCGUGGGGAGCAAACAGG